GCUGGUGUAGCUCAACUGGUAGAGCACCUGAUUUGUAAUCAGUAGGUUGGGGGUUCAAGUCCCUUCACCAGCU
This 73-nucleotide transfer RNA is filed under the name Heterosigma akashiwo. Its description in RNAcentral is "tRNA-Thr". It matches the Rfam family "tRNA". From Rfam's summary of the family: Transfer RNA (tRNA) molecules are approximately 80 nucleotides in length. The record is from RNAcentral. Lineage: Eukaryota; Raphidophyceae; Chattonellales; Chattonellaceae.